UAUCACUGUUUCCCAUUUUAAUGUGAAGUUAGUGAAUACUGUUGAGUCAAAUUGGCUUAAAGGCUAACAUUAGCACUCGCUAGUAACCUAACCCAGAGACACUUAUAUAUGAGGAGACACUGCACUGGAAAAAUCGCCCAUUGAAAAGCAUGGGGUAACUUCGUAACGCGAAAGAUGGCGGUUGUUUACACCGGUUGGCUAUGGUUUGCACGUCCCGCCUCUUCCAGUGCCGUUGCUCCAAUCAUUUGGCCGAUCCUUGGCGGUCAUGCUUUUUGAAAGCUGCGUCGGGAAGAAUAGAGCAUGCGCAGUCCAAAAUUACCAGUAAGAAAAAGGCUUUUUAAGCGUUAAUUUGAUACAAAACCACCAAACCUUUUCAGCGAUUUUAGUCAGAUUUUCAUCGCGAUUUCAAACAUGUGAUUUGUAUGUCUCUUACACCUCGGAACAUGGACAUCCAGCUCUCUCCCCAUUCAUUUAGAUAGAGCCUGGUCUUGUUCCGGUCAAAGUCGCUGCCCGACCCCAUGGCCAAUAUGGCUGCCGAGUGACGUGACUUGCUUUAAAAAGACUUUGCCUAACCUUAUGAACAAACCUUAUGAAACGUUCUGCUAGCUGCUAACGUUAAUCCCUCUCACACAGAUAACCACCAUGGCAGAAUGUUGGCGUGUGGAAGUACCUCUACUCAGAGUGAUAGAGAAAACUAUGGCUCUGCUUUUACUGAAGGAAUGGCUACCGGAGCGGGCAGCUUUAUGAAUAUAAGGUGAAAAGGAUGUAUGGAGAAGUGUUGGGAGAGUCAGACAGUCCACGGAACUUGCAAUGACUUAGCAAUGAUCUAUGCCAGACGUACAACCCCUGCUGUCAUUGGUGAUACCACUGCUUGAAAAUAUGUCAACGUCCUGUAGAUCAAGUAAGGUUCCAGUCGAAGUCCUCCUGAAGAAUUUGUUGGAUUUCUGCCAGUUUUUGAUAUUGAACUUUAGUGCCUUUUGAGACUCUUGGCUUUUUAAUGGCACGCCUCAUUCUACCCAAAUGGAAGGAUUGGAGUGUGUUUAUAUUGUAUAUGUUUAUAGGCUUGCUAAUAUUUGCUUAGGCUUUCACAUUGUUUUCUGAGAUAUUACUCAAUGAUGUCAUUGUGACUCAUUGUAUCACACUUCAAGACGCGUAUCUUUCACUCAAUUAGUGUAUGCACUGUGAAUCCAAACAUGAGAAUUCUAAGAUUAUAGCAACUGCAAAGUUACUGCAAGGACAAUGUUAGUUUUGUAAAAACCUUAAGUGAC
Sardina pilchardus (European sardine) is the source of this 1268-nucleotide long non-coding RNA. RefSeq lists it as uncharacterized. The transcript is spliced from 3 exons. The record is from RefSeq and is a predicted model, not a curated record. Lineage: Eukaryota; Metazoa; Chordata; Actinopteri; Clupeiformes; Clupeidae.